RNAcentral lists this ribosomal RNA (492 nucleotides) under uncultured bacterium. RNAcentral describes it as "partial 16S ribosomal RNA". It matches the Rfam family "Bacterial small subunit ribosomal RNA", at positions 29 to 507 of the family's 1533-position model. The record is from RNAcentral.
AGUGAACGCUGGCGGUAGGCCUAACACAUGCAAGUCGAACGGCAGCACAGUAAGAGCUUGCUCUUACGGGUGGCGAGUGGCGGACGGGUGAGGAAUACAUCGGAAUCUACUUUUUCGUGGGGGAUAACGUCGGGAAACUUACGCUAAUACCGCAUACGACCUACGGGUGAAAGCAGGGGACCUUCGGACCUUGCGCGAUUGAAUGAGCCGAUGUCGGAUUAGCUAGUUGGCGGGGUAAAGGCCCACCAAGGCGACGAUCCGUAGCUGGUCUGAGAGGAUGAUCAGCCACACUGGAACUGAGACACGGUCCAGACUCCUACGGGAGGCAGCAGUGGGGAAUAUUGGACAAUGGGCGCAAGCCUGAUCCAGCCAUACCGCGUGGGUGAAGAAGGCCUUCGGGUUGUAAAGCCCUUUUGUUGGGAAAGAAAAGCAGCAGGUUAAUACCCCGCUGUUCUGACGGUACCGAAAGAAUAAGCACCGGCUAACUUCGUG